This 408-nucleotide ribosomal RNA is filed under the name uncultured bacterium. RNAcentral describes it as "bacterial SSU rRNA". It matches the Rfam family "Bacterial small subunit ribosomal RNA", at positions 355 to 775 of the family's 1533-position model. The record is from RNAcentral.
UCGAGGAUCUUCGGCAAUGGGCGCAAGCCUGACCGAGCGACGCCGCGUGAAGGAUGAAGGCCUUCGGGUUGUAAACUUCUGUCGAGGGGGAUCAAGGGCAACUUGAGUGAUCCCUGGAGGAAGCACGGGCUAAGUUCGUGCCAGCAGCCGCGGUAAGACGAACCGUGCGAACGUUGUUCGGAAUCACUGGGCAUAAAGGGCGCGUAGGCGGCUUAUCAAGUCAGGGGUGAAAUCCGGCAGCUCAACUGUCGAAGUGCCUUUGAUACUGAUGAGCUCGAGGGAGGUAGGGGUAUGCGGAACUUCCGGUGGAGCGGUGAAAUGCGUUGAUAUCGGAAGGAACGCCGGUGGCGAAAGCGGCGUACUGGACCUCUUCUGACGCUGAGGCGCGAAAGCCAGGGGAGCAAACGG